This 87-nucleotide transfer RNA is filed under the name Candidatus Helarchaeota archaeon. RNAcentral's name for it is "tRNA-Gln". It matches the Rfam family "tRNA". Rfam says of the family: Transfer RNA (tRNA) molecules are approximately 80 nucleotides in length. Their secondary structure includes four short double-helical elements and three loops (D, anti-codon, and T loops). The record is from RNAcentral. Lineage: Archaea; Promethearchaeati; Candidatus Helarchaeota.
AGCCCGGUAGUGUAGCGGCCAAAUUAUUCAGGCCAUUCAUCGGGGGCUCUGGACCCCUGGACUCCGGUUCGAAUCCGGGCCGGGCUA